Molecule: ribosomal RNA, 374 nt
Filed under: uncultured organism
Description: partial 16S ribosomal RNA
Rfam family: Bacterial small subunit ribosomal RNA
Source: RNAcentral
GUAGGUGGCAAGCGUUGUCCGGAAUUAUUGGGGCGUAAAGCGCGCGCAGGCGGUUCUUUAAGUCUGAUGUGAAAGCCCACGGGCUCAACCGUGGAGGGUCAUUGGAAACUGGAGAACUUGAGUACAGAAGAGGAAAGCGGAAUUCCACGUGUAGCGGUGAAAUGCGUAGAGAUGUGGAGGAACACCAGUGGCGGAGGCGGCUUUCUGGCCUGUAACUGACGCUGAGGCGCGAAAGCGUGGGGAGCAAACAGGAUUAGAUACCCUGGUAGUCCACGCCGUAAACGAUGAGUGCUAAGUGUUAGGGGGUUUCCGCCCCUUAGUGCUGCAGCUAACGCAUUAAGCACUCCGCCUGGGGAGUACGGCCGCAAAGGCUG